RNAcentral lists this ribosomal RNA (529 nucleotides) under uncultured bacterium. RNAcentral describes it as "bacterial SSU rRNA". It matches the Rfam family "Bacterial small subunit ribosomal RNA", at positions 8 to 526 of the family's 1533-position model. The record is from RNAcentral.
AGAGUUUGAUCAUGGCUCAGGACUAACGCUGGCGGCGUGCCUAACACAUGCAAGUCGAACGCAUCUGUGCUUCGGUACAGAUGAGUGGCGAACGGGUGAGUAACACGUGAGUAACUCCCCUUGGGGAGGGGGAUAACCAUCUGAAAAGGUGGCUAAUACCCCAUAUUCUCCUUUUUUGCCAAAGAAAGGAGGAAAGAUGGCGUAAGCUAUCACCCCGAGAGAGGCUCGCGUCCCAUCAGCUAGUUGGUAGGGUAAUGGCCUACCAAGGCUAUGACGGGUAGCUGGUCUGAGAGGAUGGUCAGCCACACUGGGACUGAGACACGGCCCAGACUCCUACGGGAGGCAGCAGUGAGGAAUCUUGGGCAAUGGGCGAAAGCCUGACCCAGCGACGCCGCGUGGAGGAAGAAGGCCUUCGGGUCGUAAACUCCUGUUCGGGGAGAAGAACAGGAGAGAAGUGAAUAACUUCUCUCCCUGACGGUAUCCCCGGAGAAAGCUCCGGCUAAUUACGUGCCAGCCGCCGCGGUAAUUC